This 440-nucleotide ribosomal RNA is filed under the name uncultured bacterium. Its description in RNAcentral is "partial 16S ribosomal RNA". It matches the Rfam family "Bacterial small subunit ribosomal RNA", at positions 339 to 795 of the family's 1533-position model. The record is from RNAcentral.
CUACGGGUUGCUGCAGUGAGGAAUAUUGCACAAUGGGGGGAACCCUGAUGCAGCAACGCCGCGUGGAGGAUGACGCAUUUCGGUGUGUAAACUCCUUUUAUAUGUCAAGAAAAUGACGGUAGCAUAUGAAUAAGCACCGGCUAACUCCGUGCCAGCAGCCGCGGUAAUACGGAGGUGUGCAAGCGUUACUCGGAAUCACUGGGCGUAAAGGACGCGUAGGCGGGUUGGAAAGUCAGGUGUGAAAUCCUACAGCUUAACGGUAGAACUGCACUUGAAACUUCUAAUCUAGAGUAUGGGAGGGGGAGAUGGAAUUAGUGGUGUAGGGGUAAGAUCCGUAGAUAUCACUAGGAAUACCUAAAGCGAAGGCGAUCUCCUGGAACAUUACUGACGCUAAGGCGUGAAAGCGUGGGGAGCAAACAGGAUUAGAUACCCUAGUAGUC